GGGCAGUUAGCUCAGCGGUAGAGCGCUUGAUUCACAUUCAAGAGGCCACUGGUUCAAAUCCAGUACUGCCCACCA
This 75-nucleotide transfer RNA is filed under the name Candidatus Berkelbacteria bacterium. RNAcentral describes it as "tRNA-Val". It matches the Rfam family "tRNA". Rfam says of the family: Transfer RNA (tRNA) molecules are approximately 80 nucleotides in length. Their secondary structure includes four short double-helical elements and three loops (D, anti-codon, and T loops). Lineage: Bacteria; Candidatus Berkelbacteria. The record is from RNAcentral.